CAGACCGAGAAGCAGUGAGCUACACAACAUCUGCUAGCUAACAGCUGUUUGUUGUGGACUCAAACACUUUCUUCCGCCGAGAAAACCAUCAAACGACCUGCCAAAACAAGUGACCAUGUUUAAAAGAAACACAGCAGAUCCAGUGUUUCUGGGGAGAAUCUUCCGAUGAACAGCGAUUGACUGUCAGUGUAGAUCUACCAGAGUGCUUCCCUCAGGAUACGACGAGGCCCGUCUCUUUCCAUGCAGCACAGUUCAAUAGUGGAAGAGUGAUGUGAGUCUACUAAUUGACCAGAGACACAGAGGCGUCACAGGAAACUCAUGUUCUCUCGCUCUGCUUCGACUCUCGAUGAGGAAGUGGGGGCUGCUAAAUUGUCCUGUGGUCUGACUGAACCUGCCAGAGAAGAACAGAGAGAGGGGGGUUGGUGGUGGUGGUUGGAGAGCCGUUAGAGGCAAAACACACAGUGAGAGUGCCACACCUGCAGCAAAUAUCGAGUGGUGACCAGUUAGACUUUUUCAUAGAUUGUCCAAAUAAAGAAAUGUGGUCACUCUGA
Long non-coding RNA from Micropterus salmoides (largemouth bass), 551 nucleotides. RefSeq lists it as uncharacterized. Lineage: Eukaryota; Metazoa; Chordata; Actinopteri; Centrarchiformes; Centrarchidae. The transcript is spliced from 2 exons. The record is from RefSeq and is a predicted model, not a curated record.